UACAGGGGGGGCAAGCGUUGUUCGGAAUUACUGGGCGUAAAGGGCUCGUAGGCGGCCAACUAAGUCACACGUGAAAUCCCCAGGCUUAACCUGGGAACUGCGUGUGAUUCUGGAUGGCUUGAAUCCGGGAGAGGGAUGCGGAAUUCCAGGUGUAGCGGUGAAAUGCGUAGAUAUCUGGAGGAACACCGGUGGCGAAGGCGGCAUCCUGGACCGGUAUUGACGCUGAUGAGCGAAAGCCAGGGGAGCAAACGGG
This 253-nucleotide ribosomal RNA is filed under the name uncultured bacterium. Its description in RNAcentral is "partial 16S ribosomal RNA". It matches the Rfam family "Bacterial small subunit ribosomal RNA", at positions 524 to 776 of the family's 1533-position model. The record is from RNAcentral.